Molecule: long non-coding RNA, 777 nt
Organism: Peromyscus eremicus (cactus mouse)
Lineage: Eukaryota; Metazoa; Chordata; Mammalia; Rodentia; Cricetidae
Exons: 2
Source: RefSeq, a predicted model, not a curated record
UGGGAUGGUCUGUAUGUCAAGUGUGUUGCUGAUUGGUCAGUAAAUAAAUCACUGAUUGGCCAUUGGCUAGGCAGGAAAUAUAGGCGGGACAAGGAGAAGAAUUCUGGGAAGUGGAAGGCUGAGAGGGAGACGGCCUGGAGCCGCCGCCAGGAGAAGGAAGAUGUAAGAAAGCCAGAGACUAUGGAUUUGUUCCAGAUUAAGAUACAUCAGGUUUGACCAGCCAAGACCCCCUGAAAGGUCUCCGAUGACACCAUGGCCCUGAUGAUCCAACAUCCAGAAUGGUUUCAAGGCAACUGGCUCAGACGACAUACCCUCAUGGACUAUUCCAUAAUUCUAAAAUUUUCUUUGUAUCCCCAUAAGAUACAGCGCCCCCCUCCAGCAGGAAGUAGUAAGAGAAACUACGCCCAAAUUCCCAAAUAUACCAAGCUGACUUUGGAGAUAUGUAAAGGUUAAAACCUUCCUUUUUAAGAAAAGAAAAGGGGAAGUGCUGUGGGAUGGUCUGUAUGUCAAGUGUGUUGCUGAUUGGUCAGUAAAUAAAUCACUGAUUGGCCAUUGGCUAGGCAGGAAAUAUAGGCGGGACAAGGAGAAGAAUUCUGGGAAGUGGAAGGCUGAGAGGGAGACGGCCUGGAGCCGCCGCCAGGAGAAGGAAGAUGUAAGGUACCAGUAAGCCAUGAGCCAUGUGGCAAAGUAAAGAUUAAUAGAAAUGGGCUAAAUAUAAGAGUAAGAGCUAGACAGUGACAGGCCUGAGCUAAUGGCCAAGCAGUUUAAAUAAUGUAA